UGGGGAAUAUUGCACAAUGGGGGAAACCCUGAUGCAGCGACGCCGCGUGAGCGAAGAAGGCUUUCGAGUCGUAAAGCUCUGUCCUAUGAGAAGAUAAUGACGGUAUCAUAGGAGGAAGCCCUGGCUAAAUACGUGCCAGCAGCCGCGGUAAUACGUAUGGGGCGAGCGUUGUCCGGAAUUAUUGGGCGUAAAGGGUACGUAGGCGGUUUUUUAAGUCAGGUGUCAAAGCGUGAGGCUUAACCUCAUUAAGCACUUGAAACUGAUAGACUUGAGUGAAGGAGAGGAAAGUGGAAUUCCUAGUGUAGCGGUGAAAUGCGUAGAUAUUAGGAGGAAUACCGGUGGCGAAGGCGACUUUCUGGACUUUUACUGACGCUCAGGUACGAAAGCGUGGGGAGCAAACAGG
This 403-nucleotide ribosomal RNA is filed under the name Verrucomicrobiota bacterium. Its description in RNAcentral is "Verrucomicrobia bacterium partial 16S ribosomal RNA". It matches the Rfam family "Bacterial small subunit ribosomal RNA", at positions 355 to 776 of the family's 1533-position model. The record is from RNAcentral. Lineage: Bacteria; Pseudomonadati; Verrucomicrobiota.